GUGAACGCUGGCGGUAGGCCUAACACCUGCAAGUCGAACGGCAGCACAGUAAGAGCUUGCUCUUACGGGUGGCGAGUGGCGGACGGGUGAGGAAUACAUCGGAAUCUACUUUUUCGUGGGGGAUAACGUAGGGAAACUUACGCUAAUACCGCAUACGACCUACGGGUGAAAGCAGGGAAUCUUCGGACCUUGCGCGAUUGAAUGAGCCGAUGUCGGAUUAGCUAGUUGGCGGGGUAAAGGCCCACCAAGGCGACGAUCCGUAGCUGGUCUGAGAGGAUGAUCAGCCACACUGGAACUGAGACACGGUCCAGACUCCUACGGGAGGCAGCAGUGGGGAAUAUUGGACAAUGGGCGCAAGCCUGAUCCAGCCAUACCGCGUGGGUGAAGAAGGCCUUCGGGUUGUAAAGCCCUUUUGUUGGGAAAGAAAAGCAGCAGGUUAAUACCCCGCUGUUCUGACGGUACCCAAAGAAUAAGCACCGGCUAACUUCGUG
This 491-nucleotide ribosomal RNA is filed under the name uncultured bacterium. RNAcentral's name for it is "partial 16S ribosomal RNA". It matches the Rfam family "Bacterial small subunit ribosomal RNA", at positions 29 to 507 of the family's 1533-position model. The record is from RNAcentral.